Molecule: non-coding RNA, 93 nt
Organism: Mycena galopus ATCC 62051
Lineage: Eukaryota; Fungi; Basidiomycota; Agaricomycetes; Agaricales; Mycenaceae
Source: the annotation of a GenBank genome assembly
GCUCCAAUGGGUCAGUGGUAGACUGGUUUCGUCAUGUGAACAAGUCCUACUCCAUUUUCGAAGCAGGCGUGGGUUCGACUCCCGCUUGGAGCG